UAAAAGACGAUGAAGAGAUGAGUAGCUGAGUAAGCGUUGUUCACAGAGAGCUCCUGUCCUGCUGAAAGGGAGCAAUAAUUUGCUUAGUGAAUAAAGACUUGGAGUUUCAUGGCCCUGUGCGGGGUAAUAUGACGGAUUCUUCCGAUAUCAAGAUAGGGUACUUUACCCGAAAAGGCUUAUGCAGCGAUGUAUCAGCAAACUGAGGUGGUACCGCGAAGCUAUCUAUAACUCUCGCCCUCAAG
This 242-nucleotide non-coding RNA is filed under the name Bacillus sp. (in: firmicutes). RNAcentral's name for it is "Bacillus sp. T-box sequence". It matches the Rfam family "T-box leader". From Rfam's summary of the family: Uncharged tRNA acts as the effector for transcription antitermination of genes in the T-box leader family. T-boxes are found upstream of many aminoacyl-tRNA synthetase genes and some amino acid biosynthetic genes usually in Gram-positive bacteria. Lineage: Bacteria; Bacillati; Bacillota; Bacilli; Caryophanales; Bacillaceae. The record is from RNAcentral.